Molecule: ribosomal RNA, 1875 nt
Filed under: Phytophthora infestans T30-4
Lineage: Eukaryota; Oomycota; Peronosporomycetes; Peronosporales; Peronosporaceae
Description: 18s_rRNA
Rfam family: Eukaryotic small subunit ribosomal RNA (bases 1-1075)
Source: RNAcentral
ACCUGGUUGAUCCUGCCAGUAGUCAUACGCUUGUCUCAAAGAUUAAGCCAUGCAUGUCUAAGUAUAAACAAUUUUGUACUGUGAAACUGCGAAUGGCUCAUUAUAUCAGUUAUAGUCUACUCGAUAGUACCUUACUACUUGGAUACCCGUAGUAAUUCUAGAGCUAAUACAUGCAUCAAUACCCAACUGCUUGUCGGGCGGGUAGCAUUUAUUAGAUUGAAACCAAUGCAGUCUUCGGGCUGGUAUUGUGUUGAGUCAUAAUAACUGUGCGGAUCGCGCUUUUGCGCGAUAAAUCGAUUGAGUUUCUGCCCUAUCAGCUUUGGAUGGUAGGAUAUGGGCCUACCAUGGCAUUAACGGGUAACGGGGAAUUAGGGUUUGAUUCCGGAGAGGGAGCCUUAGAAACGGCUACCACAUCCAAGGAAGGCAGCAGGCGCGUAAAUUACCCAAUCCUGACACAGAGAGGUAGUGACAAUAAAUAACAAUGCUCUGGCUCUUCGAGUCGGGCAAUUGGAAUGAGAACAAUUUAAAUCCCUUAACGAGGAUCAAUUGGAGGGCAAGUCUGGUGCCAGCAGCCGCGGUAAUUCCAGCUCCAAUAGCGUAUAUUAAAGUUGUUGCAGUUAAAAAUCUCGUAGUUGGAUUUCUGUUUUGGAUGUCCGGUCCGCUCCUCUGGGAGUGUGUACUUAUGGAUAUUCGAGGCAUUUUUUGUGAGGCUGCCUUUCUGCCAUUAAGUUGGUGGGUUGGUGGGCUUGCAUCGUUUACUGUGAAAAAAUUAGAGUGUUUAAAGCAGGCGUUUGCUCAUUUGAAUACAUUAGCAUGGAAUAAUAAGAUACGGCCUUGGUGGUCUAUUUUGUUGGUUUGCACACCAGGGUAAUGAUUAAUAGGGACAGUUGGGGGUAUUCAUAUUUCAGCGUCAGAGGUGAAAUUUUUGACUAACGAUCACUCGGGUAUUAAAUACCCUUCCUCUGUGUAAGGUGCUGUGUGACCCCAUCACAUUGAGGUAUCGAGGUCCCUCCAUCCAUUCAUGAAUCGCUGCUCCAACGCUAAUUGUGGAGUGCAAACUGUCUGUGGAACACAGAGCCUUCUUUUACUGCUGCUUGAGCUUCCUAAUCACGUCUGGUGGGACGCUAAGCUUAAAGUUAAGACUAAAAUCUCGGUUUUCGGCAAGCUUUAUACGAUGUUACAGCACUCGUUUAUCACUAAUUCGCAGAUAUCAGAUUUACUACCAUUGAUAGCGAUUUCCGAAGGCUAUGGGGAAGCUCGUGAGUGCGGCCGUCGACUGCAAGGCGACAGGUUGUGGGCCGCAGCCUCGGCUUCCAAGCGGAAAGCGCGUGAGCGCGACGUCAGUUGUCGCUGGUAGUAAGGAUAGAGCUAACGGUCUCAGACUUCUCCGCUGUCCUCGUGUAGAAACGAUGCCAGGGGAAGCUCCAGAUUAAGGCCGAUCGUGUGGAUGAUCUUGGACGCCGGCUAUGCGUGCAGCAAUGUUACAGCACUCGUAUAUCACUAAUUUCGCAGAUAUCAGAUUUACUACCAUUGAUAGCGAUUUCCGAAGGCUAUGGGGAAGCUCGUGAGUGCGGCGUCGACUGCAAGGCGGACAGCUCGUGGGCGCAGCGUCGGCUGCCAAGCCGGAAAGCGCGUGAGCGCGACGUCAGUUGUCGCUGGUAGUAAGGAUAGAGCUAACGGUCUCGGACUACCCCACUGACCUCGUGUAGAAACGAUGCCAGGGGAAGUUCCAGAUUAAGGCCGAUCGUGUGGAUGACCUGGACGCCGGCUAUGCGUGCAGCAAUGUUACAGCACUCGUAUAUCACUAAUUCGCAGAUAUCAGAUUUACUACCAUUGAUAGCGAUUUCCGAAGGCUAUGGGGAAGCUCGUGGCUGC